GGGGGGUUAGCUCAGAGGUAGAGCGCCUGCUUUACACGCAGGAUGUCGCAGGUUCGACCCCUGCACCCCCCACCA
This 75-nucleotide transfer RNA is filed under the name Thermoanaerobaculia bacterium. RNAcentral describes it as "tRNA-Val". It matches the Rfam family "tRNA". From Rfam's summary of the family: Transfer RNA (tRNA) molecules are approximately 80 nucleotides in length. Their secondary structure includes four short double-helical elements and three loops (D, anti-codon, and T loops). The record is from RNAcentral. Lineage: Bacteria; Pseudomonadati; Acidobacteriota; Thermoanaerobaculia.